Burkholderia sp. AD24 is the source of this 61-nucleotide non-coding RNA. The record is from Rfam. Lineage: Bacteria; Pseudomonadati; Pseudomonadota; Betaproteobacteria; Burkholderiales; Burkholderiaceae.
UGUCUCCUCCAUGUCUCCAACGAUAUGGAUUCAGCCCGCCAAACUAGGUGGGCUUUUUUUU